This 258-nucleotide ribosomal RNA is filed under the name uncultured bacterium. Its description in RNAcentral is "partial 16S ribosomal RNA". It matches the Rfam family "Bacterial small subunit ribosomal RNA", at positions 524 to 776 of the family's 1533-position model. The record is from RNAcentral.
GACGAACCGUGCGAACGUUAUUCGGAAUCACUGGGCUUAAAGCGCGUGUAGGCGGGACGGCACGUCGGUCGCUGAAAAGCCCCCCGGCUCAACCGGGGAACGGGCGCCGAUACGACCGUCCUGGAGGGACGUAGGGGGGACCUGGAACAUCCGGUGGAGCGGUGAAAUGCGUUGAGAUCGGAUGGAACGCCCGUGGCGAAAGCGAGGUCCUGGACGUUUUUCUGACGCUGAGACGCGAAAGCCAGGGGAGCGAACGGG